GCCUACUAUUGAGCUAGAGGAGAUUUUAUUAAUUAGAUUCUUUGGCGAGCUUAGUUUAAUUCUGUCUGUCCGCUGAGCCCAUCGCGUCAGCCCAAUCAUGCAGUCAGGCCCACGUCAACGAGUCCACAUUUCCGGCCUAACGUGGAUCCGACCCAGCUCCAGUCCCGAAAGUCAAUAACCCUUUAGGGUUAUUAUUUCAUCUCCCUCACAGCCGCUGCCGUCACUAUCUUCUCUCGAACGCCCCAUCUUAUCUCGACUCUUCCCUUUCUUGCUACUUAGCAGUCGUCGUCUCUCCUCACCUCCGAUCGAUGACUCUGAUCAACUAUGGCUUCCACAUUUGAUGAAUCUCAGGCCAAAAGAGAGGUAAACUCUCGAUUUAUCCCUUUCAUUUUUACGAUUUCUAACCUUAAUUGAUUCUAAUCCUCAUCGUAUCAUCUUCUAUGAUGGGAGGUCGGCGAAGGGACUGGCUCGAUCUUCUUCUGGCUGAAAUGAUCAUAGAUCGGUAAAGUCUCGUUCCCUCUCGAUCUGUGUUUUUUUCUUACAUUCUAUUCGAAUCUAAAAGUCGUCUCCGAUCUUUCGAAUCGCAGUGGUGGGAACUAAGUGAGCACUAAAUGAGCAGGUAUGACCCUAACUUGUUGAGUCUGUGAACCCUUGUUUUUUUCGUCAGUUGUUUUUUGUUGUAGUAUUGGUUUGACCGACUCUUUGACUGCUCAAUACAAGCUAAUCCAUCUUAAAUCAUUCAUACUUAAAUCGAUUGUUUCACUUUAGACUUUAUCAAUUCUUUGACUCUGCUUAUUGUUGGUUGACCGAUCCUAGCCUAUACAACGAAUCGAUUGUUGUUUAUACUAUCAACCAAAACCAGUGUAAUCUAUCUUCAGUUAGAAUCACCCCUUGUAACUCACAUUUUCGUGCCCGGAAUCACUACUAAUCUAACCUAGUCCAACACUUUAGUCAUGAUAAGUUUAAUGAUGAUGAUAUGUCAUGUAAACAGGAUUAGUGGAAUAAGUAUUUUAAAUGUUUGCUUGAUUAUGUACCUUUCAACCUUGUUAUGAUUACGGAUUUCCUUGAUUAAUGAUUCUAAUUGUUGAAGCUUCUUCUUGCGAGGUGGUUUGAUGAUGCUUACUGCAAGGGCUCGAUAGUACUGAUAAUGGUGAGCUGGAGUAUGGUUUUAUGCGAGGUUGAGUGUAGUUCAAUGUGAAACUUAGGGCGGUGAGUGUGAUAUGAGAGUAAUUUCGGAUUAAUGAUCACACCGUUUUGUGUUUUCUUUUCGCUUGAUUUUUCUGAUUUCAGAGCUUUUUUGUGUUCUAGUUACUCUGGAAUUUUCCUCAGCAUUUCGCCCUUUAUCUGUAGCCAAAAAUUGGUGUAAUAGUGAGUUUCCUAAAAUGUCCCCCACAGGUCUAUCAUAUCCCUAGUAAGCCAGAUGAGCCUGCCAUACGUGGGCCUCAUCUUCUCUGGAAACUGAAUCAAUUCGGUUAUCGUUUUAUAUCAUAGUUCACCUACAUUUGGUUCGGUAAAAUCCUAAAUACUUUUUAUAUUUUUCGAAAUAAACUUGGGGAUUUCGAUAGAAUUUGACACAUCAAUGAACAUUCGUAUCUCGAAAGAAUCGGAUUUUAAAAGGCGAAAAUAACCCUUCAGUCGAUCUAAAAUCUGACCUAUCUGCCUUUACUAAUUUACCUGGCCAAUCUGAUUUUGAACUAAUUCGAGAUUGACCAGUUGGCCUAACCAUCACUGUUGACUCAACCGAUUACGUUUUGAAUUGAACCGAGUUUAACUAGUCAGCCAGCCUAAAAAAUGCUCAGGGGCAAA
Molecule: long non-coding RNA, 1806 nt
Filed under: Linum usitatissimum (flax)
Lineage: Eukaryota; Viridiplantae; Streptophyta; Magnoliopsida; Malpighiales; Linaceae
Description: long non-coding RNA (LUSI_LNC004891)
Source: RNAcentral